AAUAUUGUACAAUGGGCGAAAGCCUGAUCCAGCCAUGCCGCUUGUGUGAAGAAGGUCUUCGGAUUGUAAAGCACUUUACUUUGGGAGGAAGGGUUGUAGGUUAAUACCCUGCAAUUUUGACGUUACCAACAGAAUAAGCACCGGCUAACUUCGUGCCAGCGGCCGCGGUAAUACGAAGGGUGCAAGCGUUAAUCGGAAUUACUGGGCGGAAAGCGGGCGUAGGUGGUUGGUUAAGGUGGAAGUGAAAGCCCCGGGCUUAACCUGGGAAUUGCGUUCAAAACUGGCGAGCUAGAGUACGGUAGAGGGUAGUGGAAUUUCCUGUGUAGCGGUGAAAUGCGUAGAUAUAGGAAGGAACAUCAGUGGCGAAGGCGACUACCUGGACUGAUACUGACACUGAGGUGCGAAAGCGUGGGGAGCAAAC
This 421-nucleotide ribosomal RNA is filed under the name uncultured bacterium. RNAcentral describes it as "partial 16S ribosomal RNA". It matches the Rfam family "Bacterial small subunit ribosomal RNA", at positions 360 to 773 of the family's 1533-position model. The record is from RNAcentral.